CGCUGUCGCGUGCCUAAUACAUGCAAGUCGAGCGGACAGAUGGGAGCUUGCUCCCUGAUGUCAGCGGCGGACGGGUGAGUAACACGUGGGUAACCUGCCUGUAAGACUGGGAUAACUCCGGGAAACCGGGGCUAAUACCGGAUGCUUGAUUGAACCGCAUGGUUCAAUUAUAAAAGGUGGCUU
This 183-nucleotide ribosomal RNA is filed under the name Bacillus licheniformis. RNAcentral's name for it is "partial 16S ribosomal RNA". It matches the Rfam family "Bacterial small subunit ribosomal RNA", at positions 34 to 214 of the family's 1533-position model. The record is from RNAcentral. Lineage: Bacteria; Bacillati; Bacillota; Bacilli; Caryophanales; Bacillaceae.